UACAGAGGGGGCAAGCGUUGUUCGGAAUUACUGGGCGUAAAGGGCGCGUAGGCGGCCUUCUAAGUCGAACGUGAAAUCCCUGGGCUCAACCCAGGAACUGCGUCCGAUACUGGAAGGCUUGAAUCCGGGAGAGGGAUGCGGAAUUCCAGGUGUAGCGGUGAAAUGCGUAGAUAUCUGGAGGAAUACCGGUGGCGAAGGCGGCCUUCUGGACAGUGACUGACGCUGAGACGCGAAAGCGUGGGGAGCAAACAGG
RNAcentral lists this ribosomal RNA (253 nucleotides) under uncultured bacterium. Its description in RNAcentral is "partial 16S ribosomal RNA". It matches the Rfam family "Bacterial small subunit ribosomal RNA", at positions 524 to 776 of the family's 1533-position model. The record is from RNAcentral.